AUUGAACGCUGGCGGCAGGCCUAACACAUGCAAGUCGAGCGGAUGAAGGGAGCUUGCUCCUGGAUUCAGCGGCGGACGGGUGAGUAAUGCCUAGGAAUCUGCCUGGUAGUGGGGGAUAACGUCCGGAAACGGGCGCUAAUACCGCAUACGUCCUGAGGGAGAAAGUGGGGGAUCUUCGGACCUCACGCUAUCAGAUGAGCCUAGGUCGAAUUAGCUAGUUGGUGGGGUAAAGGCCUACCAAGGCGACGAUCCGUAACUGGUCUGAGAGGAUGAUCAGUCACACUGGAACUGAGACACAGUCCAGACUCCUACGGGAGGCAGCAGUGGGGAAUAUUGGACAAUGGGCGAAAGCCUGAUCCAGCCAUGCCGCGUGUGUGAAGAAGGUCUUCGGAUUGUAAAGCACUUUAAGUUGGGAGGAAGGGCAGUAAGUUAAUACCUUGCUGUUUUGACGUUACCAACAGAAUAAGCACCGGCUAACUUCGUG
Molecule: ribosomal RNA, 484 nt
Filed under: uncultured bacterium
Lineage: Bacteria
Description: partial 16S ribosomal RNA
Rfam family: Bacterial small subunit ribosomal RNA
Source: RNAcentral